Molecule: long non-coding RNA, 985 nt
Organism: Neofelis nebulosa (Clouded leopard)
Lineage: Eukaryota; Metazoa; Chordata; Mammalia; Carnivora; Felidae
Exons: 4
Source: RefSeq, a predicted model, not a curated record
AUUAGAAAGUGAGACCGGAGACCAACGCCGUCCUGGGAUGGCUUAGCAUCACCCUGGAGGUUGUGGGGAGAGCCUGGAAAUGACUAGAUUUCCCUCAAGCUCUUUGAAUCUGGUCUCAGGUUUAUGCUGGGAGGCCUUUCCCACUACCCGACCAAGAAGCGAUUUACUGAACAAUGACCUCAUUUUACAUUUCACAAUAUGUGUGUCAUAUAAGCAGUCUGUGCUGCUGAACGGUUUCCUGUAAACAUUUACAAUGGUUUGAGGCACUGGGGCCAGUCCCCAGUAGUUCUGGGAAAGACUUUUUAGAAAACAAGAAGGAACCUCUGCCCCAACUGUACAUUGGACACUGCAGAGUAAUUAUACAGUAGAGGUCAGGCCCAGGGUGAUAAUUAGCCUUGGGGGUGCCAGAGGGCCUCCUCGCUUUUGCACUCCCAGCAAUUUUCUGGGAGGAGACAGAGCUGAGUUUCAGCAGGAUGGAGGCCUCUGGGUGUGAAACGCCCUCCGCUUCACACCGGGGGCCCAUGUGCCACAUGGACUAGACCUUGCUCCCAAAGCGUGGUCUCAGGAUCUACGGCAUCAGCAUCACCUGGGAGCUUACUGGAAAUGUAGGAUCUCACAAACCACUCGGAGCUACCAGUCAGAAUCUGCGUGUUAACAUCCUGGCGACUCAAAAGCACGUUACAUUUUAGGAAGUCAUGAACUAGAACGAAGGUGUCAGGACCUCACUUGAGAGGCAGCAGGGAAGCACCUGUGAGGCUGGCUCAGCCACUCAGUAAAACUCAGAACUAUAAACAUCCUGCCACUUCCAGGCAAACAUGGCUCCCGGCAGCUGUUGUCCAAAUACAACAUGAGCCAGAUGCCAUUCCAGAUCCCUAAUCCAGCUUUCAUCGGACCUAAUUCCCGACCACCUCUCAUGAGAGGGACCAGAGAGACUUGGAUGACAUUAGGAUUGCAUAACUACACUUCUCAUGAAGUUUCUUUCACC